Molecule: ribosomal RNA, 405 nt
Filed under: uncultured bacterium
Lineage: Bacteria
Description: partial 16S ribosomal RNA
Rfam family: Bacterial small subunit ribosomal RNA
Source: RNAcentral
AUUGAACGCUGGCGGCAGGCUUAACACAUGCAAGUCGAGCGAGUGGCGGACGGGUGAGUAAUGCAUGGGGAUCUAGCUUAUGGAGGGGGAUAACUACGGGAAACUGUAGCUAAUACCGCGUACCAUAGGAUGAACCCAAAUGGGAUUAGGUAGUUGGUGAGGUAACGGCUCACCAAGCCGACGAUCUCUAGCUGGUCUGAGAGGAUGAGCAGCCACACUGGGACGGAGACACGGCCCAGACUCCUACGGGAGGCAGCAGGGGGGAAUAUUGCACAAUGGGGGCAAGCUGAUGCAGCCAUGCCGCGUGUAUGAAGAAGGCCUUCGGGUUGUAAAGUUCUUUCAGUAGCGAGGCGUUAACGACAGAAGAAGCACCGGCUAACUCCGUGCCAGCAGCCGCGGUAAUUC